AGAGUUUGAUCCUGGCUCAGGAUGAACGCUGGCGGCGUGCCUAACACAUGCAAGUCGAGCGAUCUUCUUCGGAAGAGAGCGGCGGACGGGUGAGUAACGCGCGGGUAACCUGCCUCAUACACAUGGAUAACAUACCGAAAGGUAUGCUAAUACAAGAUGAUAUAAGAGAUUCGCAUGGAUUUUUUAUCAAAGCUCCGGCGGUAUGAGAUGGACCCGCGUCUGAUUAGCUAGUUGGUAAGGUAACGGCUUACCAAGGCGACGAUCAGUAGCCGACCUGAGAGGGUGAUCGGCCACAUUGGAACUGAGACACGGUCCAAACUCCUACGGGAGGCAGCAGUGGGGAAUAUUGCACAAUGGGCGAAAGCCUGAUGCAGCAACGCCGCGUGAGCGAUGAAGGCCUUCGGGUCGUAAAGCUCUGUCCUCAAGGAAGAUAAUGACGGUACUUGAGGAGGAAGCCCCGGCUAACUACGUGCCAGCAGCCGCGGUAAUACGUAGGGGGCUAGCGUUAUCCGGAUUUACUGGGCGUAAAGGGUGCGUAGGUGGUUUCUUAAGUCAGGAGUGAAAGGCUACGGCUCAACCGUAGUAAGCUCUUGAAACUGGGAAACUUGAGUGCAGGAGAGGAAAGUGGAAUUCCUAGUGUAGCGGUGAAAUGCGUAGAUAUUAGGAGGAACACCAGUAGCGAAGGCGGCUUUCUGGACUGUAACUGACACUGAGGCACGAAAGCGUGGGGAGCAAACAGGAUUAGAUACCCUGGUAGUCCACGCCGUAAACGAUGGGUACUAGGUGUCGGGGGUUACCCCCCUCGGUGCCGCGGCUAACGCAUUAAGUACUCCGCCUGGGGAGUACGCUCGCAAGAGUGAAACUCAAAGGAAUUGACGG
Molecule: ribosomal RNA, 879 nt
Filed under: uncultured bacterium
Lineage: Bacteria
Description: bacterial SSU rRNA
Rfam family: Bacterial small subunit ribosomal RNA
Source: RNAcentral